GCUGACACAGUCGAAGAGCUCAGGACCACUGCGAAAGCAGUCUCUCCAACCUCGACUCUGCCUGAAGUUGCUGGCAAACUGGGCCGUCUCUCCCUCUAGCCCCAACCUAUUCCUCAACAGAGAUCUCCAAGUUCAGAAGAGGCUGAGUUCAGGAGCAGCCCAGGUGUGUGUGUGCAGCUCGACAUCUUGGAUGUUUACGAGAAUACUGAAUUACACUCUAGAAUUGAUCUGGGUUUGUUUCAAAACGUUUCCUCUUCAAAACUGUCGACUGUCAUCUACAUUCCGGGAAGAGGUGCCCGGCAUGGGGAGGGUGGU
RNAcentral lists this long non-coding RNA (315 nucleotides) under Ictidomys tridecemlineatus (thirteen-lined ground squirrel). RNAcentral describes it as "lncRNA (ENSSTOG00000033851.1)". The record is from RNAcentral. Lineage: Eukaryota; Metazoa; Chordata; Mammalia; Rodentia; Sciuridae.